Molecule: long non-coding RNA, 216 nt
Filed under: Bos taurus (domestic cattle)
Lineage: Eukaryota; Metazoa; Chordata; Mammalia; Artiodactyla; Bovidae
Description: long non-coding RNA NONBTAT018655
Source: RNAcentral
CUGUCAGUUUAGUUCCCUCAAGUACUGAGAUAUUGAUCCCCUCAGAGUACAUGGACUUGUGACUUGUUGCUUUCACUUGGGGCCUGGAGAGACCUCAUCUAUUUUACUCACCUAUACCCACCACGUAUAGGAUGCCAACUGUCCAGCUGUGUCACCUCACUGAAAAAUAAGUGAAUGAUGGACAUAUUUGACACUCCAUUUACUACUGUUGAUGUU